UACGGAGGGUGCAAGCGUUGUCCGGAUUUAUUGGGUUUAAAGGGUGCGUAGGUGGAACUGUAAGUCUGAUUUGAAAGCAAGCGGCUUAACCGUUUGAUGUGGUUGGAAACUGUGGUUCUUGAAUGGGUUGGCGGUAGCCGGAAUGGGUCAUGUAGCGGUGAAAUGCAUAGAUAUGACCCGGAACACCGAUUGCGAAGGCAGGCUACUACGACUUGAUUGACACUGAGGCACGAGAGCAUGGGUAGCGAACAGG
RNAcentral lists this ribosomal RNA (253 nucleotides) under uncultured bacterium. RNAcentral's name for it is "partial 16S ribosomal RNA". It matches the Rfam family "Bacterial small subunit ribosomal RNA", at positions 524 to 776 of the family's 1533-position model. The record is from RNAcentral.